UUCACCCUCUCUGAGUCUCAGUUUGCUCAUCUGUGAAGAGGGGGAGUUGGUGAGCUUGCCUCUGAGGGUUCCCCCACCUCUCUCUUGAAUGGAACUACACAGGAGGCCUUCCAUGUCAUCUGUAGGGAAACUGAGGCUGCGGAGGACGGGUCCACUGGGCCCGCCUACCUCUGCCCAAAGUUUCUGGUCAGAACUUUCUCUACAGGUGCUGUGGGAUCACAGGCCUGCCGUCUGGGGAAGAGCCGGGAGCCAUCUUCUCUGAGCUCGCUUCCUUGUCAGCGUCACCGGUGAGACAGGGGAAAUUGAGACCCCAGCGGCACAUCUUAAAUCAAAGCCCAGGCCAUCGAUCUCCCAGAACAGACUGAAAUCACAAGCAGCUCCCUGAAGUGAGGACCAGGAUCUUCAGGAAGACAGGCGCAAAGCCUUUCUCAGGGUGCCUGAAGUUUGCAAGUCCCCCAUGGCUCCCGGGCUGGUCCAGGAGUGAUGGAGAGGCUACAGCCGGAAGCCAGACGUUAAGAUAUGGGUGCAGAUGGAGGCCGACUGCUUUUCCUGGCUGGAGAAGAAAAUUGGUCAGAGCCGAGGAGCGGCAGGAGUUCGGACACAGUAACCACCUACCCCUCUGCAGAUAAGGAAGCCGGCCUCCCUGAUGGCCAGGCCCUGGCACCAUCAGGCCCGGUGGCAGCUGAGCAGGGAUUCUCUGGCGUCCUCUUCCGCUCUGGGGGCAGCUGAUCACGUGGUGUUCUGCCUGCUUACCCUGCUUCUCCAUUCCACUCCAAGAGGCCAGGGGUCCGUUUGUCUUGUCACCAAUGAGUCCCUGGUGCCCAUGUAGGCCUGGCUUGCGGGAGAUGCUUAGUCAAUAUUUGUGCUAAGAAC
Molecule: long non-coding RNA, 873 nt
Organism: Suricata suricatta (meerkat)
Lineage: Eukaryota; Metazoa; Chordata; Mammalia; Carnivora; Herpestidae
Exons: 2
Source: RefSeq, a predicted model, not a curated record